AUGAGAGGCCAGCUACCGGUUGAGCCGGCUGCCGGGCCGGAUGGAAAAAAAGAAUUCAGUCCGGGUGGAAAAGAGAUGUCGGCUGGCCACCCGACUGGUAAAAGAAAGAAAAAAAGUCAAAGGCCAGUUGGCCUUGCAAUUAAAAAAAAGAGUCUGACUGCUAGGUCGGUAAAAAGAGACAAAAUCAGAGCUUUGUCCGGCGGCCAGCAGCUGGCAGAAGAGAAGAAAGAAAAAAAAGGGCGCUGCCAGCCGCCUCGCCGCCUCACCAGUUGUACCAAGCCGGCUCGGCCAUGUCCCGCUCGCCGCCUGGCUGGUCAAGCCCGAUCGGCUGGACCCUCCUCGAGUGCUCGGAGGCUCGAGAGCUACACCCAGUGGGUGCACCAGCGCGCUCUGCGAGCGCCGAGCCGCACCGGCUGUCUUCGGUAA
Molecule: ribosomal RNA, 426 nt
Filed under: Triticum aestivum (bread wheat)
Lineage: Eukaryota; Viridiplantae; Streptophyta; Magnoliopsida; Poales; Poaceae
Description: partial small subunit ribosomal RNA
Source: RNAcentral